CCCCCCCCCCCUUCUUCGUUGCCUACCCCAACAUGGCCGCAUAUGGCGCGAUCAUAUAGACCUAAAAAGAAAGGCAGCAUUCGCACGACUCAUGACACUCUAUCCAGUCAUGAGCCGGCGACUAGGGAGCUCAGUAAAAAUGGCUUAAUAAUAUAUAAAGCGUUAAUUAAACCCAUUAUAACAUAUGCGGCACCAGUGUGGGCAACAGCAGCGGAGAGUCAUCUGAUAAAGUUUCAGCGAAUUCAGAACAAGAGCAUUCGUAUUGCGCAAUGACGCGCCUGUGUAAUGCUCCGUCAGGGCUAUGCACAGGGAGCUUAAACUCGAACUUCUGAAAGAUUAUUAUGUCAGAACUGCACAUAAAUUCUAUGACCGACCAGACUGGCCAAUCAACGCCGCGUACAGAUCCCCCGGACUGGAAAAUUUCCUACGCGAGUAAUACUUAACUUUAUAAUUAUUUAACCUAUAAAUACUAAAUAAACAAGUAGGCUGAUAUUAUUCAGCAAUGAAAGCCGUGCCAUGCAUGGAGGCCAUGGAGGUAAUAGUCUAUGAAGUGGAAGCAGGCGUACUUUUCAAGGGUAAUCAAUGAAGCUUGUACCCGAAAUAAAAUCUUUGGACAGUGCAUGCGCACGACGAUUGUUUACAUGUCCCGCCAUAUCGCGGGUGGCAAAAGAAUAGCAGACAGCAAUGUAAUUUUUAUGACGCUGCCAUCGUCCGGGUUCUCGUGUUCGAGACCGGGCAUGGAUCCUAGCGGGAAAGCUGGCUCUUAAUGAAAAUGUGUCCGGGAGGGCGCCAGGCUAGCUCUGUGUCUAACCAAAAGUUGGGUCGGUGGGUGCGAAUGCCCCUGUGUGCCCCGCGUAAUGUUUAGUGCGGGGAGUUGUAACGGUUCGUUACUCACAAAAAUAAAAAGAUUUAAAGCGUCGAUUUUCGUUGUUUUAUUCUUUGAAGUUAUAAUGCACAAACGAAUCCAAUGUUUCAUUCACUCGUUUCACACAUACAUCUGCCCGUCGAAAACUGCCCGCAGUUCGCUUGAUGAGUUUUAAUAAUAAAAAUAAUAACGUCGAUUAAGUCCUUCAGUAAGGAAACUAUCCGAGAAUAUGUGCGGCCUCAAGCACGGCCGCACCUUGCAAAAAACAGCGAGCCGCCGAAACGCGGCCUCGCCUGGCAGCGAUCGCCCGACGACUACUACUGAACUCAUGACACGUCUCCUCCACUUAGGGAGUAGACGUCACAUGACCUCACCGACCAAUCACACGCACGCUUCAUUCACGCUUACAGAUACAAGCCAAUCACAGAACAAGUUACAAUACAUGAAAAAACCUUUUACACUCAGAACUCUGGGCUUCCCCUGAUUAGUCUCUUUUCAAUUUCACAUCGAAAUCGGGGACUUCCAUUCUCGUUCUCUCUCCCACACCUUGAGAGAGCAGUUAUCACUCAGUUCCCAUGCAGGGGGGUAAUUACCGUCUUUAUCUCGGUUGGCGGGGAAGCACUGUUCCUUUCUCACUCCCACUUACAGGCCUCUCAUGCCUCUCUUUCUAACCAUCACACAAGCCCAGACACAGUCCCGUGAUUUAUAAUUAUAUUACAACACAUUAAUAAAAUUUAAGAACGAUAAUUAAAAUACGAAUUACUUUACAAAAUUAAACUUAUUGAGAAAAACCUGAAUAAGUAGGCCUAAACAGGUAAAAAUCUAGAACAGCGACUUCUUUGUGAAUAAUUCCAUAAUAAAUAGUACUGAUUGAAAAUGUCUAAUAAAAUAAUAAAUACCUUCUUAAAAACAUAGCAAGUGAAAAAUAUCAACCCUAAAAUAUAUAACAAACUGUAAAAUAUCAUUAGAAAGACUUUUUAAGAAAUAUUUACAUUCAUGAAAAUAGUUUAAAAGAAAAAUUAUUUAAUUAGGAGGGCAGGGUUCUGCAACAUUACAGAGUUUAUACUUAAGUGGCUGGGUUAGGCCCUACACCGUAAAAAGGACCGGGUACGCAUGUGGAGUUUAAGCAACGAAAAGGAUUUGAAUUAAUGACUAUAGUUACCAGUAGUGAAUUUCAGUGGAGACAAAGGAUGAUGACUCCCCGUGAAACGCACGUCCGCCCCGGUCCGCGUGUCUCUCGGUACUGGCAUUUGCCCUUGGCGCGAGGGGAGGCCUCAGCGUUCUCUCGCGCCAAAGUUUCUAAAGUUCUGUUAUUCAGAAAUUAUUUCAAUAACAAGAGAUGAGUGUGGCUCUAAAUUCAUACAUUAAUUAUUAAUGAUUAAUCUAAUUUGCAGAGACUCUCUAAGAAUUAGGUUUAACAAGUUUACAUAAAUUAAGUUUAAAUAAUAAGAGUCACACCAGAGACUGUUCGUCACUUGUUGACUGCUCCAGUGGCAAGUUAUACACUAAAAAUGGGGAGGUCAUAUUUACGUUACACAAUACUCUAAUUAAUUUAGGCUGGAGGCCACAAGGGAGACACUCACAAAUGUAUUAACGUAAUUUCACACGUGAGUGACCCGGGCACUCCUGCGUCGCACUUCCCUUGGGCGGGUUUUUAAAUAAAUAGUGGCGUUACUAUUAAAUUGUGUCUGAUUUCUAGUGAACUGGGGUUAAGGUGGCUGAUUAAUUAAGACACAGCCCUUGAUUCUACCUUGUCCUCAGGGGCUCGCCUGACUCGGGUGCGUUCCGUUAGCGGGUUCGGAUAUGGCGGUUGCAGGUCGGGCUUUGGGGUGGCUUUCGGCCAGACGACGUCAAUACUUCUUCAUCUGGAUCAGCCUCUUGUAGGUCAGGGUUAACAUCUUGUACUGUCUUAAGCUUCUUGUAGAAUUCAUGAAAUAUUGGUGGAAUAAAGCUGAGUAGAGCCAUCAAAUCUUUCUUUAUCUCAGCUGAAAUAGGAACAAUUUCAGUGUAUCGCUUGGUUACAGAUGUGUUGCGAAGACUUGUGUUUCCCUUGCAGAGGAAGCUCAGCUCUUUGAAAUACCCUUCUUCAAGUGAGGAUUGUUGUUUUGGAAAUGAAGGAAGUAGAUAUACUUUUUGUACUUAUUUAUUAACCACCUUCAUACACAACAAAAUACAACAUUGCUGCAUCCUACAUAGAUAUACAUUUUUAUCAUACUAGAGACUGCAAAACAUUUUUACAAAAAAAAUUGUCAGUUGUACCAACAUUAAUACAAAACAAUUCUCAACACAUAUUAAAUUUCCCAUCACAACACUUCCCCUUGUUGUGUUGGUUUGUACAAUCAUGAUAAAUACAUCAAUCCCAAUUUUUGGGUCAUAACCUUGGUCUUCACACCAUUUAGUACCUUAGUAAAUAGAUCUGCCAAGUUUUGGUUUGUGGGUACGUAAUGGAAUUUGACAACAUUUUCUUUUACACAUUCUCGGACAUAGUGGAACUUUAUGUCAAUAUGAUUUGCCUUUUCAGACAUUAUUUGGUUUGAUGCCUGGCUGAUAGCACCCUGGUUAUCACACUGUACAAGACAUGGGGUACUGAUAUACUUCGAUUGACUAAGCUCAAACAACAAAUUCCUUAUCCAUGCUACUUCUUUUGUUACUUCAGCCAUGACAACAAAUUCGGCUUCAACAGUGGACUGUGCAACUGCACUUUGCUUCAUGGAAUGCCAUGAAACUUCAGUCCCCGCCAAAAUAACAACAUAACCAGUAUAGGAUUUUCUAUCAACUUUAUCAUUACCAAAGUCUGCAUCACAAUAUACUUAUAUUUCUAUUGGAUUGCCUGUUUUGUAAUAACACAACUUAAGGUCAAUGGUUUUCUUUAAAUACCUAAGUAUGCUGUAUAUCACACCAAUGACUCAUUUUAGGUUCAUUACAUUUACGAGAAAGCUUGUUUACAGCAAAUGUGAUAUCUGGCCUCGUGCUCCCAGAGAGAUACAAUAAAGAGCCAACUGCUUGUCUGUAGAUGUUCUCACUGAACCAUACAUCUUGCCCUGGGACACUGCCUGACCUACUUAUCUCUAGCGGCGUGAAUAAGCCUUUUGCAUUCCCCAUUCCAAACUGUUCUAACACUUGUGUUAUGUAAUGGCUCUGAUCCAGUGCAAUGAUGUCACCAUUAAGCUUGGUAACCCUAAUAGAGAGAAACUGUGAGUCACUUGAAUUACUACUCUGACUUGGCUCCUCGAGUCGUAGUGUAAAAUGGUUUUGCUGUAUUCAAUAAUAAACCACGUUGGUGAACACUCUGAGUUAUUACUACACAAUACUGUGAAUUAUACCCUGAAUAAAUAUGAAUAUUUACAUGUACUGCUGUGUUACGAGUAGGUAUUUGCAUAGAUCUACUCCUUAGUAUGGUCCCACUGUCCAGUAGAGACUCUUUGAUUUUUAGAAUUGUUUCUGGGCGCCACUCUUAUGUAAACCUUAAUUUUGUUAUCAAGAUAGAACAAGUGUAGUGGAAUACAUACGAGAAAAAAAAAUAUAACACUUCAGAUCUAAUAUUGGUACAAAAGUGAAAACAUGUAGGUUUAGGGUCGUUGACAACAUAUACACAGUGAAAUAAUAAUAGAAUAAAAAUAGUAUUAAACAAAUAAUCUUUAAUAAGACAAAUAUAUAGAUAGUUAUUGGUUUGGCCAGUGGUAUACUCUUAUGUUUCUCAAAUAAACAGGAGAUAUGUUGCACACAUGACAAAUAUAACAAAAGCUCAUUUAUUUAAUUUAUUAUGUCCCUUGCUCUCACUCUUAGAUCGAAGAUAGUGUAUCAAAAUAAAGUUUAUUAUCAUUGUCAUUCAAUUUAAAAUAGUGUACCUCGGCUGAAUUCAGUGUGUAGGGAAGGUAGAACAUCAUGAGAACUCCGUCUCAUUUCACCUCUAGGUUAGAACUCGGAAUAUGUAAAACAGAUUAGUAAUUGGCUUAAAAUUGUUUGUCUCUGCAAGGCUUUACUUAGUUCGACACAAAAAUCAAUGUUUAUAUACGUGUUUGGCAGAAUCAAAUUACGUUUUUAGCAGAAAAACAGUCUUUUCAAUGUAUCAUUAUGAGUUGGUUUUACUCACGUUAAUUUCACACCUAAAUACACAUCAUGUAGGAUGUGCCCUAUAUAAAUUACAUAUAAUUAUGUUUAGACGGCGAUUAAAAACAUCCCUUCAACUGGAUGAUCUAUUUAGCUCAUUGAAUUAUCGGAUUUUCAAGGGGAUUGCAACCCAGGCUGUAUAGCCAACGCCGUAGUCAUUCCAAACUUUUUCCUAACUUUCUUAAAGACGCUUAACUUAAAGCAACUCGGCCUCCCAUUGGUCGAGACACAAAUAUCGUUGACGUAAUUAACACAUCAAAACAAAAUACAGACAUUCAACAAUACAUCUUAAAAUACUAAAAUGUCUCAAAUUCAAAACGUUAAUUUUGAACAAUGAAAAUUCUCUUAUACAAAUUACGUGCAAAAAGUUCAAUUUGCCAUUUAAGUCAUUAGUUCCCUAGAGGGGUCUUGUCAAUUGAGGCUUCAAUGUCACUCGGGCUACGCCAUAGAGUGUAGCACUCGUAGAUACGUCCAAUAACCAACAAUAGAGCAUAAACAUGAAAACGUAAACCAAUAAUAAUAAUAAUAAUAUAAAAUGUUAUUUAAAAUAAAAACAAUACACUUUCUGUGUGUGGGACAGUCAUGUAACAGCACAGAAUCGCUGCCCUUGAUAAGCAUAGUGUGUUGCAGUUUUCUAAUUUUGAACAAGGUACGGUAUGCUUUUCAGUUGGAAACUCGCUGCUCGGGUUAAAUAAAAAAAGUUUGUUGCCAGGCAACGACUCGCGCGACACCACAAAACGACGAAAAGAAGGAGGGAUAAAAAAAACUUUGGCGUGAGAAAGGACACCUGUCCCGCACCCCUCCGUCACAGAGUUCAGACCUGCGCUGGCCGUCGGUGCAUUUUCGUGGGAAAACUUGCAAUCUUGUUGAAGUUCUUGUAGUCGUCAGUCCUGGAACCAAGUCGGAUACAGUGGCCCUCGGAGGGCAAUACUCACGGUAUGUAUACGUCGCAAUCACAAGGGAAAUGUGAUGAAAUGUAAAUGUUGCAUAACAAUGGGACUUUAUCCAGGUCAUCACUGUAGCAGUGGAUCAGCCUCCAUCUGCGGCGUUGACAGCACCCUGAGGAAGACGAACCCGGGAUCGGCAUCACCGGUUGGCGACUCUCCUGCCCCUGCCUGUUGACCCAUUCCGGCACAGAACAUCAGCUGACGUCAUUGGCGCGCGGCGGUGGCGGAGCAGACGUGAUCACCAUCACCUGCUCCUGCUGGGGCGGCCGUCUAGGAGCGGCGAAUCCUGCCGCCCUGGUCCCGGACCAGUGCGUGACGCGGCGGAGCCCCGCGGCGUCAGCACAUCAUUGCGGCACACGUCAUUGUUAGAUCCUAAGAAGCUAUACUUUCAAUAUCAGCAGGGAAAGUUAAUUAAUAGCCCAAAUAUUGAUUUCUUUGGUUUACCAUUCACCAUAGAAAAAUUUGUCUACUUGGAGUGUGGUCAAGGCCAUAAUUAUCAGCAGUCUAAAGAGACUGUUUAUCCACUGGCUGAUCAUCCACUCUUGAAGAAAAAAUUUUUUUUUAUUCAAAAUUCAAAAAUAAUUGGAUGUCAAGCAAGAAUGACAGUAUGAUGUAUAAGGGUUUAUCCAGAUUUUACCUCGCCAAAUUUGAAGAGGAAAAAGUGUGCUGUCGUCAGCAGCCGGGCGAUACUGUGUCCGAAAAAUGAGGAUGUUGAUGUCAUCAACAAACAGAUGGUGUCCCGAUUAAGUACGGAAUCACGUACAUACAAGAGCUUCGACAGGCUGGAGGAGACAGCAGGAGGGAUGAAUGUGCCUGUCGAGUUGUUAAACACACUCACACUUGCUUCCCUUCCUCCUCACUCUUUGACCCUUGCUGUUGGAACAUGCAUCAUGCUUAUCCGAAAUCUAGAUCCCAAACAUGGUUUUUUUAAUUUAUAUUUGGAAAGGGCCUAGCCCCUGCAUCUUUUGAGUUGGGUUGGGUUGGGUUAUGUUAGGUUAGGUAAGUUUAGGUUAGGUAAGGUAAGGUUAGGUAAGGUAAGGUAAGUUAGGUUAUGUUGGGCACGACAUUUUCAACUAUUUCAGUCGCAAAUUUAUUAUGUAAGGUUAGGUUAUGAACGACAUUUUUAACUAUUCGUUUGUGGUUGUACAUACAAACAUACAUAUUACUAUUGUAUAUAAAUAUAAUUAUAUA
Bacillus rossius redtenbacheri is the source of this 7113-nucleotide long non-coding RNA. RefSeq lists it as uncharacterized. The transcript is spliced from 4 exons. The record is from RefSeq and is a predicted model, not a curated record. Lineage: Eukaryota; Metazoa; Arthropoda; Insecta; Phasmatodea; Bacillidae.